Long non-coding RNA from Cheilinus undulatus (humphead wrasse), 1533 nucleotides. RefSeq lists it as uncharacterized. The transcript is spliced from 3 exons. Lineage: Eukaryota; Metazoa; Chordata; Actinopteri; Labriformes; Labridae. The record is from RefSeq and is a predicted model, not a curated record.
GAUGUCUAAAAUGUCAGAUGUCUAUGACAGAUGUCUACAGAGAGGCUGUUAAAGAGAACGGUGACUCUGGAGAGCCUGAUCAUACGUCCCUACUGGAUGCUGAGAGAGAAGUGGCCCAUAGGAGCUGUCCGUCAAACCUGGACGCCAUGGUAACCAAAGUGUGAUCUGCUUCAAUGGCUGUCACAGACAGUCCAAGCCCGAAGGAUAGAAAGCGUGUGAGAUGACCCUGCACAGAGCAAAGAGUGUCUUUUCAUACACUUCCUCCAUGAGAGUCUUCCCUGGUUACAGUCAUAAUAUUGAUGAUACCUGUCCUGAGCCCACAUCCACCACCCUGCUGCAGGUCUGAUCACAAAGGUGUUUAACCAGCUGUGGAUCAAACUGAAGAAACAGAUCAAAAACCCUGUUAAAGAUGAGUAUACGUUGUUAAUUAUAUUAGGAUGUGAAAUAUUCCUGUAACGUGCCCAGUUUGCAGAUCUUGUGCAGCUUCUUGGGUUUGACGUGUUUCCUGAAUAUGUGACCCAGCAGAGAGCUCUGACUUUGAUUCUCCUGAAACUCCUCAGAGCCGGUCGCUCUGCCUCUCUCCUGUCUGCACUCUCUGGGAAACGCAAGAGCAUGAGCUGUGGCACGAAACGCCAGGAGUGACAGAGGCCACACGCAGGGAUACCUGAUGAGAUAAAGUGUCAGGGGUUUUAUUUAGAUCACACAGAAGUCAGAAUGUGAUCAUUUUCUUAUGUUAGUAUAUUGCAUGUUUGAAGAACAAAGCUUGAUUGAAAGACCAAACCCUCUAGCUUUAAGCAUCUUUACACUACUAUCCCGGGUUAACAAGGCUUUACAUCUGUUCUGAGCAUUCGAUUAUUCGGACAAGCUAAAUGUCUACAAGAAGGGGUUGGAUAUUCAGCAGCUCAGAUUAAAGACUGUCCCACAAACUGACAUGAUCUGCUGUAUCCCACAAGUAAAGAAAAGCUUAAGGACCUCAAAUGUAUAUAGAUGGUCUGAUAAUGACCCAGUAGUACCUCCUGUUGUCUCCAUUGUUAGCAUCCAGUAGCAGAUCUGCAACCUGUGGAUAUGUCAGGUCUUGUAGCACCAACUGCCGUGAGUCUGGUAGGGUGUGCCGGAGAUCUUGAGUGAAGAACUCCUGAUGGAGAACAGUAAACCUACAGUUUUUAAGGGAAUCACAACUGGAUGGAUUAUGAGCACCAAUAUCAAACUGUACACAAUGAACAAGAGGAUUCAGUGGCUCUAAAUCAGUAGUGCAGUUAACUGCUAGGGUUAUAUUGCAAUAGGGUUGAACGAUUUAGGAAAAACAAUCUAAUUGCGAUUUUUUCCCCCAAUAUUGCAAUUGUGUUUUGAUAUGUGAUUAUUCCUUAACUUUCUUAAAUUCCUAAACAGUGAACAAUUCCUUUAAAGUGUCUAAUUCUGAUGAUUUUGACUUGUAUGGCAAAUCGGGUCUGAAUGAUUACAUUGAAAGGUUUUUGUCAUUCUUAUAUUUAAUGAAUAAGUACAAAAAUCAAGAAGGCAGGAUGUUUUAGACUA